Long non-coding RNA from Bos taurus (domestic cattle), 463 nucleotides. Lineage: Eukaryota; Metazoa; Chordata; Mammalia; Artiodactyla; Bovidae. The record is from Ensembl.
GGGGUGCUAGCUCAUGGCAGGAAGCUGGGAAGCUGGAAGACUUUCAUUUGCUCUUGCCUCUGAUUUCAGGGUUGGUGUGCCACUGCCUUCUUCCUCGUGAAUCUCCAGCAUCAGUCCAGAGAGAACCCAAGCCCAGGACCAUUUUGCCCCCACUUCACAUUGCAUCCCUUGGUGACUUCAGCCACCUCUGCCUGCAUUCAUCCACAGGACAGGCUCUGAUCCCAGAAGUGAUGUCCAGAGCUGCUGCAACCAUAUGGUUCAUGGUACUGAUUUCUACUGAUGGAUACCUGGAGCUCUGGUUAGGACCCCUGAACUGGAGUUUUUAUAGGCCUAGGAAAGUGACAUUCAAAUCAUCCAGCCUCACACUGAACACUAAUAUAUGCUUCAUAACAACUCGAAGGAACAAGAUGGUUUAACUUCUCUCACUUGUCCAAGAGUCUGGUUAGGGAACUAUUCAAGGGUC